Venturia canescens is the source of this 1028-nucleotide long non-coding RNA. RefSeq lists it as uncharacterized. The transcript is spliced from 2 exons. The record is from RefSeq and is a predicted model, not a curated record. NCBI's taxonomy places the organism in Eukaryota, Metazoa, Arthropoda, Insecta, Hymenoptera, Ichneumonidae.
UUCGUGUAAUCUUCCUCCGAACGGAUUAGAAGGAAGGGACUCACCCCUCUUCGUCGGACUUAUCUACGCCAGUGUUGAACUAACCGAAGGUGCUCCAUACUUUUCUGUCGCAGAUGACCAACGCUACGCGGGACACGGAAGACUAAACACGAGAAAUUCCCAUCGACAACUAUUUUGGGCCUUCUGGAUGGACCAUUGAACGGACCGAUCAUCGACGAGAUGGGGACCCAGCGAUCCAGCGAAACUCUCAGGACGACUACGAAAAGUACGACUGCCAUUGCCACCCCUGUUCAGGCCAUGCCGCUCGCUCCGCAGGGAUGAAAGGACGAGCCAGAAGAAUGAAGAAUACCCUCGAGUGCAGAUGUCUCGAAGGAGAAUAAUAACUACGACGAAAAAUCUCUUGAGAACCCUCCAAAUUCACAAUCAUCAGAGCCGCCGGGAACAAAAACGUUUUUUACACUUCUGGCUGUGAGAAAAUCAGCUGAGAAAGCGAAACAAUUCCGUUCGAAUGACAAAUGAGAAUCUCCGCCAUUGGACGCUCAAAAACAAGUUUUUUAAUGAACCGUCAUCCAAGACUUUCACUGUCUACAAACGAAAACGGACUUUCUUCGUCCAUCGAGUAACAGCAGUUAAUUCAGGUGUCAAAAUAUGAGUCGAUAGAAAAUUACAGCUGGAAAUAUGACCGGGUGAAAACGACUGCAAAAAAGCAUCGAUGAAAUAUCCAAACAAUUAUCGCGUUUACAAUUUCGACGAUAAAAUUGUACUCUCGAUCAACCACUUCGAAAUUCGCGACUCGACCGAAUCCGAGAUUCACUGUCCGAGUCGACGAUAUUAUUAGCUGCACUAAACCUAUCAACGGGCAUUAUAAAAUAUAACAUUCGUCGACAAAGAGACCGAAAUUGUUCUCAACACCAAUCAGGUUCGACGAGGAAGACAAAGAAAUUUUGCACAAAUCCAGCUCACUCAGCCAGUACGAGCAAGCUAUGAAAAAAAAAAAAAAAAAAAAAAAAAAACAGUUUUACAAUCAC